Molecule: long non-coding RNA, 806 nt
Filed under: Numida meleagris (helmeted guineafowl)
Lineage: Eukaryota; Metazoa; Chordata; Aves; Galliformes; Numididae
Description: lncRNA (ENSNMEG00000006085.1)
Source: RNAcentral
UGCCUCAUUAUCUGGUACUGUUUUAAGUAAAUUAAAUGAUCCCUUCUACUGACUUCACCUGGAAGUCCCUGUGGCAGGCUUUGUUCUUUCCGGUGAGCCAAGCUCUGAGCUGUGGGAGGCAUUAGCAGAUGCAGGUGGCAGAGUAAUUGCAGUCCCCUUGCACAACUCUGUGAUGAUACCAGCUCAGCAUUGCCUUUAGAGCGAGUAACACAGAAUGGAGAAUGACAUUUUCCCCAGCCCAGCCUUCUCACAGCAGGCAACAGAGAGAAGAAAAAGUUCUAAAAUCCCACCUCUUAUGAGAAAUAUGUGUUAGUGCAAGCCAUAUGGAAAGGUGCCAUGAGACACCCAUUCGGUGAAGACAUUUGAAGCUGGGCAAAGAAUGUGUACAGUGUAUCCUGGAGACAAGGUAUGCCAGAGGCAGGACCAAUUCAAACAACGCUGCAGAACUCCAGGGCUGACUUGAGGCCUAUAAGGCAAUGUAAGGAUACAGCACGCUUCCAUUUAGGAGAGAGACAAGACAGUUAAAGCAUGCUGGCUAUGCAAAAUACACACAAAACUUUUCCAAGGAAGCACACUGGUGAUAGAACUAAGGGAGAAAAAAUGCUUGACUUGAAGAACUAUUGAUGGCUUUUCACCUAAGAGAUUUGGAUCAGAUAAUCAAAAUAUAUUACAUGGAAAUGAUCACAGAAGCCAACAGCAGAGAGAGGCCGAUUUCACGUAUAGACAGUACAUACGCGAAGCAUCGCCCUAAAGUUCACAAAAGAGGAGUGAGUUACUUUGCAAACAUGAAAAUCGUAUACAAAUGA